This 1062-nucleotide long non-coding RNA is filed under the name Pan troglodytes (chimpanzee). RNAcentral's name for it is "long non-coding RNA NONPTRT002426". Lineage: Eukaryota; Metazoa; Chordata; Mammalia; Primates; Hominidae. The record is from RNAcentral.
GUACAGGAAGGAGAGUGGUAUCUGCUUCUGGGGAGGCCUCAGGAAGUUUCCAGUCAUGGUGGAAGGUGAAGGGGGAGCAGGUGCCUCACAUGGCAAAAAAGGAACAAGAAAGAGGGGGAGACACCACACUCAAUGACCAAAUCUCAGGAGGGAGAUGCCACACUCAACUGAACACAUCUCAGGACGGAGACGCCACACUCAACAACUUACAUCCCAGGAGGGAGACGCCACACUUUCCACUGACUAGAUCUCAGGAGGGAGACACCAUACUCAACGACCAGAUCUCAGGAGGGAGACGCCACACUCAACGACCAGAUCUCAGGAGGGAGACGCCACACUCAACGACCAGAUCUCAGGAGGGAGACACCACACUCAAUGACCAGAUCUCAGGAGGGAGACGCCACACUCAACAACUUACAUCCCAGGAGGGAGACGCCACACUCAAGUGACCAGAUCUCAGGAGGGAGACGCCACACUUUCCACUGACCAGAUCUCAGGAGGGAGACGCCACACUCAACGACCAGAUCUCAGGAGGGAGACACCACACUCAACGACCAGAUCUCAGGAGGGAGACGCCACACUUUCAACUGACCAGAUCUCAGGAGGGAGAUGCCACACUCAACGACCAGAUCUCAGGAGGGAGACACCACACUCAACGACCAGAUCUCAGGAGGGAGACGCCACACUCAACGACCAGAUCUCAGGAGGGAGACGCCACAUUCAAGUGACCAGAUCUCAGGAGGGAGACGCCACACUUUCCACUGACCAUAUCUCAGGAGGGAGACGCCACACUUUCAACUGACCAGAUCUCAGGAGGGAGACGCCACACUCAACGACCAGAUCUCAGGAGGGAGACGCCACACUCAACGACCAGAUCUCAGGAGGGAGAUGCCACACUCAACUGACCAGAUCUCAGGAGGGAGAUGCCACACUCAACUGACCAGAUCUCAGGAGGGAGAUGCCACACUUUCCACUGACCAGAUCUCAGGAGGGAGACGCCACACUUUCAACUGACCAGAUCUCAGGAGGGAGAUGCCACAUUCAUCGCCAUCUAAUAAUUUU